Juglans microcarpa x Juglans regia is the source of this 2194-nucleotide RNA transcript. It is a transcript of the gene named 60S ribosomal protein L3-2-like, with no coding region annotated. Lineage: Eukaryota; Viridiplantae; Streptophyta; Magnoliopsida; Fagales; Juglandaceae. The transcript has 5 exons. The record is from RefSeq and is a predicted model, not a curated record.
UCAUCAUAGCCAAAAACCGGUGAGUGCGGUCUCUUCGUCGUCGAUCUCUAGGUAAAAUCGUUCAGUUUUUCCAUCCACAGACAUGUAAUCACCCUAAACUCCUUAUGCUUUUGUGUAAUAUGGAUAGAUCUGUUCUCAUUUUUGCCGGACUUUUGUUUUCUUAAAGUGUGCUGUUUGGAUCCGAGUUGGAUUUAAUUUCAAUGCAUGCCUUUUCACUCUUCUAUUUAUGAGAUAUAACUUUUUGUUUUCCUUUGUAUAUUAAGUUUUAACGCUGUUCUUCAUUGUAUAUGUUUGGCUUCCCUUCACGCUGUGGGCAUAUUGAUAUUGCUCAUCUCCAUGAUGUUAAUGUGAAAACUACCCUUAAAAGAUUUUGGUGAGUAAUCAAGGCUGGAGUCUCAAAAGGGGCUCUUUUUGCCAAAACCCUACGAUGGGGUUUUGGAAAGAAACACCGACGAGCCCGAGAAUUGGCGUAUUCUAAUGCCAUAGGCCUUUGGUUGGGGAGUUUUCCUACACAUCUGCGGAGCUUGUGCUAAUAUCCUGUGUUUCAUUAUGUGCAGGGAAUCUCUAUAUGUACACGCCUUUAUUGCAUUAAUAAAAAAAGAUUUAUUAAACUAGCAAACGGGAACUCCAUUAUUGUUGUUUUAAAAGUAAGGAAUUGUGAAGCAACAGAAGGCACUAAAUUUAUUUAUUUUUCUUUCAUUUAUGCAAAAUUUCAAAGAAUUUAGAUAAGUUAUCGAUAUUUUAAGCUCAUGGCACUCUUUUGCUGUAAAACCCUGAAGUUUUUUUUUUUCUUUUCGUGGAGCUCUUAUUAAUUAUUUUGAUGGAUUUCAAUAUUUUUUCAGAAAAUUUCAGCAAUUAAAGUGAUCGAACAUGUUCGAUUAUGUGAGUUUGAAUUUUUUAUGAUAGAUUUUUACCUUUAUUAUUGAGUUUUGUUAGCUUUGCAGAUAGCAAUAACAAGAAGAAAUCAUGUCUCAUCGCAAGUUUGAACACCCAAGACACGGUUCUCUGGGGUUUCUGCCGAGGAAACGAGCCUCCCGGCAUAGAGGAAAAGUGAAGGCCUUCCCCAAAGAUGAUCCAACUAAACCUUGCAGAUUGACUGCUUUCCUGGGAUACAAAGCUGGAAUGACUCAUAUUGUUAGAGAAGUUGAAAAACCGGGAUCAAAGCUACACAAGAAGGAAACGUGUGAAGCAGUAACUGUUAUAGAAACACCACCUCUGGUCAUAGUUGGUGUUGUUGGUUAUGUCAAAACGCCACGUGGUCUUCGUUCUCUGAGUACCGUUUGGGCCCAGCAUCUUAGUGAGGAGGUGAAGAGGAGAUUCUACAAGAAUUGGUGCAAGUCCAAGAAGAAGGCUUUCACCAAGUAUUCCAAGAAGUAUGAAACUGAAGAUGGGAAAAAGGACAUUCAGGCACAAUUGGAGAAAAUGAAGAAGUAUUGCACCUUGAUUCGUGUUUUGGCCCAUACACAGAUAAGAAAAUUGAAGGGACUGAAGCAGAAGAAAGCUCAUUUGAUGGAGAUCCAGGUGAAUGGUGGAACUGUUGCCCAGAAGGUUGACUAUGCUUAUGGUUUCUUUGAGAAGCAGAUUCCUGUUGAGGCUGUUUUCCAGAAAGAUGAGAUGAUCGACAUAAUUGGAGUGACCAAGGGGAAGGGGUAUGAGGGUGUUGUGACCCGUUGGGGUGUCACCCGUCUCCCGCGUAAGACGCACAGAGGGCUUCGCAAAGUGGCCUGUAUUGGUGCUUGGCAUCCUGCUCGGGUUUCGUUUACGGUUGCCAGGGCUGGACAGAAUGGUUACCAUCACCGCACGGAGAUGAACAAGAAAGUUUACAGGCUUGGGAAGGCAGGCCAAGAGUCUCACUUGGCCAUGACUGAAUUCGACAGGACUGAGAAGGCAAUUACUCCAAUGGGAGGAUUCCCCACUAUGGUGCUGUGAAGGAGGACUAUCUUUUGAUAAAGGGAUGCUGUGUAGGCCCUAAGAAGCGAGUGGUGACCUUGAGGCAGUCACUCUUGAAGCAGACGUCAAGGGUUGCAAUGGAGGAGAUUAAGUUCAAGUUCAUCGAUACAUCGUCCAAGUUUGGGCAUGGCCGGUUCCAGACAACUCAGGAGAAGGACAAGUUCUAUGGGCGGGUCAAAGCUUGAUUUGCUAAGUCAGAGAUCUGUUUGUACUCUUUUUUCAUAAAUUCUGAUGUCUUUGUUCC